AUGACCUUAUAUCCAGGGCUACACACACGCUACAAUGGCCAGUACAAUGGGUUGCCAAGCCGCGAGGCGGAGCCAAUCCUAAAAAGCUGGCCUCAGUUCAGAUUGCAGUCUGCAACUCGACUGCAUGAAGUUGGAGUUGCUAGUAACCGCAGGUCAGCAAUACUGCGGUGAAUACGUUCCCGGGGAUU
RNAcentral lists this ribosomal RNA (188 nucleotides) under uncultured Anaerolineaceae bacterium. RNAcentral's name for it is "partial 16S ribosomal RNA". It matches the Rfam family "Bacterial small subunit ribosomal RNA", at positions 1195 to 1378 of the family's 1533-position model. The record is from RNAcentral. Lineage: Bacteria; Bacillati; Chloroflexota; Anaerolineae; Anaerolineales; Anaerolineaceae.